GAUGAACGCUGGCGGCGUGCCUAAUACAUGCAAGUCGAGCGAACGGACGAGAAGCUUGCUUCUCUGAUGUUAGCGGCGGACGGGUGAGUAACACGUGGAUAACCUACCUAUAAGACUGGGAUAACUUCGGGAAACCGGAGCUAAUACCGGAUAAUAUUUUGAACCGCAUGGUUCAAAAGUGAAAGACGGUCUUGCUGUCACUUAUAGAUGGAUCCGCGCUGCAUUAGCUAGUUGGUAAGGUAACGGCUUACCAAGGCAACGAUGCAUAGCCGACCUGAGAGGGUGAUCGGCCACACUGGAACUGAGACACGGUCCAGACUCCUACGGGAGGCAGCAGUAGGGAAUCUUCCGCAAUGGGCGAAAGCCUGACGGAGCAACGCCGCGUGAGUGAUGAAGGUCUUCGGAUCGUAAAACUCUGUUAUUAGGGAAGAACAUAUGUGUAAGUAACUGCGCACAUCUUGACGGUACCUAAUCAGAAAGCCACGGCUAACUACGUGCCAGCAGCCGCGGUAAUACGUAGGUGGCAAGCGUUAUCCGGAAUUAUUGGGCGUAAAGCGCGCGUAGGCGGUUUUUUAAGUCUGAUGUGAAAGCCCACGGCUCAACCGUGGAGGGUCAUUGGAAACUGGAAAACUUGAGUGCAGAAGAGGAAAGUGGAAUUCCAUGUGUAGCGGUGAAAUGCGCAGAGAUAUGGAGGAACACCAGUGGCGAAGGCGACUUUCUGGUCUGUAACUGACGCUGAUGUGCGAAAGCGUGGGGAUCAAACAGGAUUAGAUACCCUGGUAGUCCACGCCGUAAACGAUGAGUGCUAAGUGUUAGGGGGUUUCCGCCCCUUAGUGCUGCAGCUAACGCAUUAAGCACUCCGCCUGGGGAGUACGACCGCAAGGUUGAAACUCAAAGGAAUUGACGGGGACCCGCACAAGCGGUGGAGCAUGUGGUUUAAUUCGAAGCAACGCGAAGAACCUUACCAAAUCUUGACAUCCUUUGACAACUCUAGAGAUAGAGCCUUCCCCUUCGGGGGACAAAGUGACAGGUGGUGCAUGGUUGUCGUCAGCUCGUGUCGUGAGAUGUUGGGUUAAGUCCCGCAACGAGCGCAACCCUUAAGCUUAGUUGCCAUCAUUAAGUUGGGCACUCUAAGUUGACUGCCGGUGACAAACCGGAGGAAGGUGGGGAUGACGUCAAAUCAUCAUGCCCCUUAUGAUUUGGGCUACACACGUGCUACAAUGGACAAUACAAAGGGCAGCGAAACCGCGAGGUCAAGCAAAUCCCAUAAAGUUGUUCUCAGUUCGGAUCGUAGUCUGCAACUCGACUACAUGAAGCUGGAAUCGCUAGUAAUCGUAGAUCAGCAUGCUACGGUGAAUACGUUCCCGGGUCU
Molecule: ribosomal RNA, 1372 nt
Filed under: uncultured bacterium
Lineage: Bacteria
Description: bacterial SSU rRNA
Rfam family: Bacterial small subunit ribosomal RNA
Source: RNAcentral